CCUACGGGUGGCAGCAGUGGGGAAUAUUGCACAAUGGGCGAAAGCCUGAUGCAGCAACGCCGCGUGAGUGAUGAAGGUCUUCGGGUCGUAAAACUCUGUCCUCAGGGAAGAAAAUGACGGUACGUGAGGAGGAAGCCCCGGCUAACUACGUGCCAGCAGCCGCGGUAAUACGUAGGGGGCUAGCGUUAUCCGGAUUUACUGGGGGUAAAGGGGGCGUAGGCGGUCUUUCAAGUCAGGAGUGAAAGGCUACGGCUCAACCGUAGUAAGCCCUUGAAACUGGGAGACUUGAGUGUAGGAGAGGAGAGUGGAAUGCCUAGUGUAGCGGUGAAAUGCGUAGAUAUCAGGAAGAACACCAGUUGCGAAGGCGGCUCUCUGGACUGUAACUGACGCUGAGGCACGAAAGCGGGGGGAGCAAACAGGAUUAGAUACCCGUGUAGUC
Molecule: ribosomal RNA, 439 nt
Filed under: uncultured bacterium
Lineage: Bacteria
Description: partial 16S ribosomal RNA
Rfam family: Bacterial small subunit ribosomal RNA
Source: RNAcentral